AGAGUUUGAUCAUGGCUCAGGACGAACGCUGGCGGCGUGCUUAACACAUGCAAGUGGAGCGACGAACCAGGGCUUGCCCUGGGGCAGAGCCGCGAACGGGUGAGUAACACGUGGGUUACCUGCCUCGAUGACUGGGACAACCCGAGGAAACUCGGGCUAAUACCGGAUGUGCCCGCAAGGGGAAAGGAAGCUUCGGCCUCCGCAUCGAGAUGGGCCCGCGGCCCAUUAGCUUGUUGGUGAGGUAACGGCUCACCAAGGCUCCGAUGGGUAGCUGGUCUGAGAGGACGAUCAGCCACACUGGGACUGAGACACGGCCCAGACUCCUACGGGAGGCAGCAGUGGGGAAUCUUUGCGCAAUGCGCGAAAGCGUGACGCAGCAACGCCGCGUGGGGGAAGAAGGCUUUCGGGUUGUAAACCCCUUUCAGUUGGGACGAAGCUUCGCCGAUGAAUAGCCCGCUGGAGUGACGGUACCUUCACAAGAAGCACCGGCUAACUACCGUGCCAGCAGCCGCGGUA
This 516-nucleotide ribosomal RNA is filed under the name uncultured Actinomycetes bacterium. RNAcentral's name for it is "bacterial SSU rRNA". It matches the Rfam family "Bacterial small subunit ribosomal RNA", at positions 8 to 522 of the family's 1533-position model. The record is from RNAcentral. Lineage: Bacteria; Bacillati; Actinomycetota; Actinomycetes.